GAGCCUGUUCGCGGUGGAGAGUGAUAGCUGGGGAGUGGAGAGUGGCGAACCCAAGUGGCGGCUACGGUUUUACGAUCUCUUUCUCCUUAGCCUCGUCUGUCGUCUUCCUUCUACCUCCGUUCCUAAACCGUAAACCCUAGACCUCUCGUGUGUCGAUACGAUUUGCCCAUUCAUGGCAUUCUCUCCGACGGCGUUGUUCUUGAUUACUGAUUGAGAGGUCGGAUUGGUGUUUCCUUUGAUCUGUGAGUGGAGUUUGAGGCAAGGAGAGGGGCGACAUGGUCCAUGGGCACGAAGAACUAGUUCGAUCUCCUCGUUGCUCGCACCUCAUCGUGGCUGCCGAGAAGAAGGCGGCCGCAUCGCCCAAGCCGGCGACCGUCGCUCCGGCCAAACUGGCCACCGCCCGCGCAGGCUGUAAAAGAGACCAGGAACUAUGGGGCUCCAGCUAUUGGGGCAGGACGUGGUAGAUGUAGCUUCUGUGGAGGCAGGAUGGGACCAAGGCGUGAAUUUGGUGAGGGCAAUGGCAAUGGUGUUGAGGGAGGUUAUGGUGGUGGUGGAUUUGGAGAUAGUGGUUUCCCGCGGAGGGAGGAAGGUGAUGGAAAGGCUAUGGGAAGAGGCCAUGGACCACGUCAGCCUUACCGUGGUGGUGGUCGCCGUGGUGGCUAUACUGAUAGUGAGGCUGGUGAUGAGUCUGGUCGCCCCCCUCGCCGGGCCUAUGAGCGCCACAGUGGCACAGGUAGAGGUUAUGGAAUGAAGUGUGAGGUGCGCUGGCCGUGGCAUCUGGGGAAUUGUGACUGAUGAAGCCCUUGCACAAGAAACAGUAGAAACUGAGGGGGCUCCUGCUGUGGCUGAGGCUGAAAACAAGCUGGAAGAAGCACCACAAUCUGAGGUUGAGAAGGGCAAAGAGGGCGAAUCAACUGAAGUGGAGGAGCCUGAAGAUAAGUUCCGAAGCACCACAGAGACCUGCUACACAGCUGUACCACCUGUUGAAGCACAAUUUAAGCAUAAGAACAGGACAAACACUUUUGAUGUACCGCGUCCUGACCCAUCUGGACAUCACACCAUUCACAUCGAACUCCUGCUCUUCAGGGAUUUGAUAUCAAGCAAGCUGAAUUAGCUUCCAUCCUGCCAUCGUCUGGGUUUCAUAGAGAAGUUGUCACAUUAUGAUAUGAAGCGAGUUAAUAGAUGAGGUCCUCCGUGCCGAGUCGGGAGACAAUGAAGAUGUUUAUGAUGUGCAGAAAACAACUACAAAAUCAGAUGAUAUUCUUCCCCAGUCGGCAGGGUAAACAUGGUGACGUUGGCAAGAACAUGCCGACCAACACAAACGUCACUCCUCAAGCAACACCACAUACGGAAUCUUGCUCGCCGAUAUUUGAUGCGACGCCGCAAAUAAAGUCUCCCGGCGGCGUCCAACAGGCGGCAGAAACAGAUCUCCCUGACAAUGGUCCAUGCUUUGAUCAGACUCCAUCUGAACAUGUUUCUGUUGAAACCGAUCCAGCUACAAACACUCCUCAGGUUGACCAGAUUUCACUUGAUUCGGAGAUGCAAACUGUGUUAGCUCUACGCGAAUAUUUGUGUGAUACGCAAUCUGACACUAGCAGUCACUACUCAACUUUGAGGAACAGAAACGACAUAGUCGGAACCCUCAACCUUUUGAUGAAUCUGUACUGUACACUUCUAGACAAUGCAUUGCCCGAGACAGAUGAAAUGGAUAAAUGCAAAGCAGUAACAAUCAUAUUUCAUUUUACAAACAUAAUUUAUUUUAAAUGGUACAUAUCACAUUGUUAUGCUUUGUCAUUUACACUAUUCAUCUUUAUGCUUUUUUUUACACGGUCAGAUCAUGGUUCCCAUGGUAAGCAGGGGGCACUGGACAUUGUAUGUUGUCAAUACAGUCAAGAAGUGCAUUCAUAUUUUAGAUUCCAAUCCAUAUGGGGCAACACUUGGUGGUACUACAUGGAAGGAAUAUCAUUUUGCCCAAUUGGAUUUAGGUGGCAGAAAGUUACCAUGAGUUAAGGUUAUUAUGAGUAGAUUAAAUAAAGCCAUACAACAUGUACGAUCCAUGACAUACUUUCCCAAAUUUGGCAACUUCGCAAUUGACUUGUGCCCAAAUUGUCCUAACAUGACAGCAGGAUCCAAUGAUUGUGGGUUUUAUGUUAUGGGAUAUAUUCUCUUUUAUGACUGUGUUGAAGGAUCUCUGCGGUCAGACAUAGAAGCAGGCAACACUAGUGAGAUACGGUCUCUUGCGUUGCAUUAUAUCACAUUCCAUCCGAAGAACAAAGCAUUAUUGCUGCUUGAAGACAUCAAAAGAUUCAAGGUCAAAUGGAUGCAGUUUAGUUUAGAUAUGUAAUAUAUUGUGUAUACAAUGGUUCCAUAAACUUCAGAUGAGUCAUGUGUGUAUGGGCAAAGACAGGCAGAUGUUUCUUAUGUUAUGUCAAUGACAACUUGGGGAUCAACGAUGUCUAAACUAGAAUAUUGUACCCCAUGUGUUUGAUCUUCAUGUGUGUUUCAUGCAUUUAA
Molecule: RNA transcript, 2514 nt
Organism: Zea mays
Lineage: Eukaryota; Viridiplantae; Streptophyta; Magnoliopsida; Poales; Poaceae
Gene name: Hyaluronan / mRNA binding family protein pseudogene
Exons: 11
Source: RefSeq, marked validated